This 381-nucleotide ribosomal RNA is filed under the name uncultured bacterium. RNAcentral's name for it is "bacterial SSU rRNA". It matches the Rfam family "Bacterial small subunit ribosomal RNA", at positions 29 to 416 of the family's 1533-position model. The record is from RNAcentral.
AGCGAACGCUAGCGGCGGGCCUAACACAUGCAAGUCGAGCGGGGAGCAAUCCCAGCGGCGAACGGGUGAGUAACACGUAGGUAAUGUGCCUUUUGGUGGGGAAUAACCGUGGGAAACCAUGGCUAAUACCGCAUAUCGUGCUUCGGCAUGAAAGCUUCUGAGGCAACUCGGGGGCGCCAGUUGAGCAGCCUGCGUCCCAUUAUUUAGUCCUAGUUGGUAGGGUAAUGGCCUACCAAGGGUACGAUGGGUAGCUGGUCUGAGAGGAUGAUCAGCCACACUGGAACUGAGACACGGUCCAGACUCCUACGGGAGGCAGCAGUGGGGAAUAUUGCGCAAUGGGGGAAACCCUGACGCAGCCACGCCGCGUGAGUGAUGAAGGCC